This 247-nucleotide ribosomal RNA is filed under the name uncultured Thauera sp. RNAcentral describes it as "partial 16S ribosomal RNA". It matches the Rfam family "Bacterial small subunit ribosomal RNA", at positions 796 to 1041 of the family's 1533-position model. The record is from RNAcentral. Lineage: Bacteria; Pseudomonadati; Pseudomonadota; Betaproteobacteria; Rhodocyclales; Zoogloeaceae.
CACGCCCUAAACGAUGUCGACUAGUCGUUCGGAGCAGCAAUGCACUGAGUGACGCAGCUAACGCGUGAAGUCGACCGCCUGGGGAGUACGGCCGCAAGGUUAAAACUCAAAGGAAUUGACGGGGACCCGCACAAGCGGUGGAUGAUGUGGAUUAAUUCGAUGCAACGCGAAAAACCUUACCUACCCUUGACAUGUCUGGAACCUUGCUGAGAGGCGAGGGUGCCUUCGGGAGCCAGAACACAGGUGC